This 498-nucleotide ribosomal RNA is filed under the name uncultured bacterium. RNAcentral's name for it is "partial 16S ribosomal RNA". It matches the Rfam family "Bacterial small subunit ribosomal RNA", at positions 29 to 523 of the family's 1533-position model. The record is from RNAcentral.
AUUGAACGCUGGCGGCAUGCCUUACACAUGCAAGUCGAACGGUAACGCGGGGCAACCUGGCGACGAGUGGCGAACGGGUGAGUAAUGCAUCGGAACGUGCCCAGUAGUGGGGGAUAGCCCGGCGAAAGCCGGAUUAAUACCGCAUACGACCUACGGGUGAAAGGGGGGGAUCGCAAGACCUCUCGCUAUUGGAGCGGCCGAUGUCAGAUUAGGUAGUUGGUGGGGUAAAAGCCUACCAAGCCGACGAUCUGUAGCUGGUCUGAGAGGACGACCAGCCACACUGGGACGGGGACACGGCCCAGACUCCUACGGGAGGCAGCAGUGGGGAAUUUUGGACAAUGGGGGAAACCCUGAUCCAGCCAUGCCGCGUGCGGGAAGAAGGCCUUCGGGUUGUAAACCGCUUUUGUCAGGGAAGAAACGCUCUGGGCUAAUACCUUGGAGUAAUGACGGUACCUGAAGAAUAAGCACCGGCUAACUACGUGCCAGCAGCCGCCGUAA